RNAcentral lists this ribosomal RNA (253 nucleotides) under uncultured bacterium. RNAcentral's name for it is "partial 16S ribosomal RNA". It matches the Rfam family "Bacterial small subunit ribosomal RNA", at positions 524 to 776 of the family's 1533-position model. The record is from RNAcentral.
UACGGAGGGUGCGAGCGUUAUCCGGAAUCACUGGGCGUAAAGGGCACGUAGGCGGUUUAUUAAGUCCGAUGUUAAAGACCGAGGCUCAACCUCGACACGGCGUUGGAUACUGAUAAGCUUGACUUCUGGAGAGGAAAGUAGAAUUACCAGUGUAGCGGUGAAAUGCGUAGAUACUGGUAGGAAUACCCAUUGCGAAGGCAGCUUUCUGGACAGAUAGUGACGCUGAGGUGCGAAAGUGUGGGGAGCAAACCGG